Molecule: transfer RNA, 69 nt
Filed under: Marmota monax (woodchuck)
Lineage: Eukaryota; Metazoa; Chordata; Mammalia; Rodentia; Sciuridae
Description: tRNA.Ala
Source: RNAcentral
GGGUGAGGCUCAUUGGCAGAGCACAUGCUUAGCAGGCACAAGGCCCUGGGUUCAAUCCCCAGCAACACA